This is a long non-coding RNA of Solanum tuberosum (potato), 252 nucleotides long. RefSeq lists it as uncharacterized. The transcript is spliced from 4 exons. NCBI's taxonomy places the organism in Eukaryota, Viridiplantae, Streptophyta, Magnoliopsida, Solanales, Solanaceae. The record is from RefSeq and is a predicted model, not a curated record.
AAGUCAAAUUUUUAUGUGCUUCAUUCUUCUUUAUAUUGAGAGAUUAAAGAGGCAAUCAAGAUGUGGGACUAUACUGGAUAUGUUAUUGUUGACAGAGGUGAUCAAGUUGAAAAGUGAACAUAUUGGUAGAGCUUUUUUCUAAAAAUAAUAGAUGUGUUUGUACUUUGUUCAUUAGAAAUUGCAGGUAUCAAUCUCAAGUGUGGUUGGACUUCUAUCCACAUGGAGCUAUGCUUCAAUACUUUGAGGAUUCGG